UACGUAGGGGGCAAGCGUUGUCCGGAAUUAUUGGGCGUAAAGAGCUCGUAGGCGGUCUGUCGCGUCUGCUGUGAAAACUCAGGGCUUAACCCUGAGCUUGCAGUGGGUACGGGCAGACUAGAGUGCGGUAGGGGAGACUGGAAUUCCUGGCGUAGCGGUGAAAUGCGCAGAUAUCAGGAGGAACACCGGUGGCGAAGGCGGGUCUCUGGGCCGUAACUGACGCUGAGGAGCGAAAGCAUGGGGAGCGAACAGG
RNAcentral lists this ribosomal RNA (253 nucleotides) under uncultured bacterium. RNAcentral's name for it is "partial 16S ribosomal RNA". It matches the Rfam family "Bacterial small subunit ribosomal RNA", at positions 524 to 776 of the family's 1533-position model. The record is from RNAcentral.